This is a non-coding RNA of Hymenopellis radicata, 86 nucleotides long. The record is from the annotation of a GenBank genome assembly. Lineage: Eukaryota; Fungi; Basidiomycota; Agaricomycetes; Agaricales; Physalacriaceae.
GGGGACAUAGCUCAGUUGGGAGAGCAACAGACUGAAGUAUUUCUUCUGUCUUCUGGAGGUCCCCAGUUCAAUCCUGGGUGUCCCCA